UACGUAGGGUGCUAGCGUUGUCCGGAUUUAUUGGGCGUAAAGGGCUCGUAGGCGGCGUGUCGCGUCGGGCGUGAAAGCCCGCUGCUUAACGGCGGGUUGGCUUUCGGUACGGGCAUCGCUGGAGUGCGGCAGGGGAGACUGGAAUUCCUGGUGUAGCGGUGGAAUGCGCAGAUAUCAGGAGGAACACCGGUGGCGAAGGCGGGUCUCUGGGCCGUUACUGACGCUGAGGAGCGAAAGCGUGGGGAGCGAACAGG
This 254-nucleotide ribosomal RNA is filed under the name uncultured bacterium. Its description in RNAcentral is "partial 16S ribosomal RNA". It matches the Rfam family "Bacterial small subunit ribosomal RNA", at positions 524 to 776 of the family's 1533-position model. The record is from RNAcentral.